CCCAAAUGGGCACUGAGGGUGAGAAGGACCUGCAGGCUGAGGUGGGGCCCACAUGGGCGCUGAGAGUGAGAAGGACCUGCAGGUUCUCGGGACAUCGCCUUCUCCAUCCUCCUUGAAUGGCGCUGACUCUGGUUUGCAGGACCCUUUCCUGUGCCCUGAGCCUAUGGCGGAUCUGCCAUCUGCCAGAUGCUGGACCCUCGUAUGCACGUCAUCACGUCCUCAGGCCUCCACGGUGCCCAUCUCUCCAUCUCAUGGCCCAGGCCUCUGUGGUGCCUAUCUCCAUCUCGUGGCUCAGGCCUCCAUGGCACCUGUCUCUCCAGCUCGUGGCCCUGGAUGCUGGUGGUGCCCACCUGGCAGCGUGCCUAGCCCAUGGGGAGCUCAGCAAACCCUUGCCGACAUGCAAUGGGUUCCCAGUGAUCGGAUGAGUAAAUGAGAGCCUGCAGAA
Molecule: long non-coding RNA, 445 nt
Organism: Piliocolobus tephrosceles (Ugandan red Colobus)
Lineage: Eukaryota; Metazoa; Chordata; Mammalia; Primates; Cercopithecidae
Exons: 2
Source: RefSeq, a predicted model, not a curated record